Molecule: ribosomal RNA, 466 nt
Filed under: uncultured bacterium
Lineage: Bacteria
Description: partial 16S ribosomal RNA
Rfam family: Bacterial small subunit ribosomal RNA
Source: RNAcentral
GACGAACGCUGGCGGCGUGCUUAACACAUGCAAGUCGAACGGAAAGGCCCUGCCUUUGUGGGGUGCUCGAGUGGCGAACGGGUGAGUAACACGUGAGUAACCAGUCCUUGACUUUGGGUUAACUUCAGGAAACUGGGGCUCAUACCGGCUAGGAGCUCUUGCUGCAUGGUGGGGGCAGGUAAGUUUCGGUGGUUGGGGAUGGACUGGCGGCUUAUCAGCUUGUUGGUGGGGUGGUCGCGUACCAAGGCUUUGACGGGUAGCCGGCCUGAGGGGGGGACCGGCCACAAUGGGGCGGAUAUGCGGCCGAGACGCCUACGGGGGGAAGCAGUGGGGAAUAUUGCACAAUGGGCGGAGGCCUGAUGCAGCAACGCCGCGUGCGGGAUGACGGCCGUCGGGGUGUAAACCGCUUUCGCCUGCGACGAAGCGAGAGAGAGGGUAAUGAGUAAAGAAGCACCGGCUAACUACG